Molecule: ribosomal RNA, 446 nt
Filed under: uncultured bacterium
Lineage: Bacteria
Description: partial 16S ribosomal RNA
Rfam family: Bacterial small subunit ribosomal RNA
Source: RNAcentral
CCUACGGGUGGCUGCAGUAGGGAAUUUUCGGCAAUGGGGGGAACCCUGACCGAGCAACGCCGCGUGAACGAAGAAGUUAUUCGGAAUGUAAAGUUCUUUUAACAGGGAAGAAAGAGAAAUUUGACGGUACCUGAAGAAUAAGCUCCGGCAAACUACGUGCCAGCAGCCGCGGUAAUACGUAGGGAGCGAGCUUUGUCCGGAAUUAUUGGGCGAAAAGGGUGCGUAGAUGGCAGAGUAAGUUGUUUGUAAAAAUGCUGGGCUAAACCCAGUAGGGCAAAAGAUACUGCAAAGCUAGAGUAUGACAGAGGCAAGUGGAACUACAGGUGUAGCGGUAAAAUGCGUAGAUAUAUGGAAGAACACCAGUGGCGAAGGCGGCUUGCUGGGUCGAGACUGACAUUGAGGCACGAAAGCGUGGGGAGCAAACAGGAUUAGAUACCCCGGUAGUC